Molecule: ribosomal RNA, 253 nt
Filed under: uncultured bacterium
Lineage: Bacteria
Description: partial 16S ribosomal RNA
Rfam family: Bacterial small subunit ribosomal RNA
Source: RNAcentral
UACAGAGGUCUCAAGCGUUGUUCGGAUUCAUUGGGCGUAAAGGGUGCGUAGGCGGCGCGGUAAGUCGGGUGUGAAAUCUUGGAGCUUAACUCCGAAACUGCAUUCGAUACUGCCGUGCUUGAGGACUGGAGAGGAGACUGGAAUUUACGGUGUAGCGGUGAAAUGCGUAGAUAUCGUAAGGAAGACCAGUGGCGAAGGCGGCCACCUGGUUCAGCACUGACGCUCAGACACGACAGCAUGGGGAGCGAACGGG